RNAcentral lists this ribosomal RNA (254 nucleotides) under uncultured bacterium. RNAcentral describes it as "partial 16S ribosomal RNA". It matches the Rfam family "Bacterial small subunit ribosomal RNA", at positions 524 to 776 of the family's 1533-position model. The record is from RNAcentral.
UACGAAGGGGGCUAGCGUUGUUCGGAAUUACUGGGCGUAAAGCGCGCGCAGGCGGUCUUCCAAGUCAGUGGUGAAAGCCCGGAGCUCAACUCCGGAACUGCCAUUGAAACUGUAAGACUUGAGGAUGAGAGAGGUGAGUGGAAUUCCCAGUGUAGAGGUAACAUUUAACGAUAUUGACGGGGACUCUCAAAAGCGAAAGCAGCAUCCAAAAACAUAACUGACACUGAAACGCGAAAGCAUGGGGAGCAAACCGG